Molecule: long non-coding RNA, 2615 nt
Organism: Manis pentadactyla (Chinese pangolin)
Lineage: Eukaryota; Metazoa; Chordata; Mammalia; Pholidota; Manidae
Exons: 2
Source: RefSeq, a predicted model, not a curated record
ACCCAAAAUGAGAAAAGGUUCAUCAUUACUACUUUUUAUUCCAAUUAAAAAAAAAUAACAGUUCCAUUGAUUUAUAAUUAACAUAAAACUCACCCUUUUAAAGUGUACCAGUCAUUUUUAGUAUAUUCACAGAGUUGUGCAACCAUUAUUAUUACCUAAUUCCAGAACAUUUUCAUCAUCCCCAGAAGAAACCUGACAUACAUUGGCAGUCACUUGCCAUUUCCCCCACUAACCCUCAGCCUCUGGAAACAAUCAAUCUAUGGAUUCGUAUACUCUGGACAUUUCAUAUAAAUGGAAUCAUAUGUGGUCUUUUUGUGUUUUGCUUUUUUCACUUAGCAUAACAUUCUCAAGAUGCAUCUAUGUUGUAGCAUUUGUCGGUCCUUCAUUCUUUUUAAUGGCUGAAUAAUAUUCCAUUGUAGAGAUACACCACUUUUAUGUAUCCAUUCUUGAUCAGCAUUUGAGUGCUUCCACUUUUUGGCUAUUAUGAAUAAUGCUGCUAUGGAUAUUCAUGUACGAGUUCUCAUGUUGACAUGUGUAAUCAAUUCUUUUAGCCUUAUACCUAAGAGGGGAAUUGCUGGGUCAUAUGAUAACCCGAUGUUUAACAUUUUUAAGGGACUCUCAAACUACUUUCCAAAAGGACUUUACUAUUUUACAUUCCUACCUGCAAUAUACAAGAGUUCCAAUUUCUCCACAUCCUCACCAAUACUUUCAACUGUCCAUCUUUCUAAUUAUAGCCAUCCUAGUGUGUGUAAAGUGAUUAUCUCACUGUGAUUUUGAUUUGUAUUUCCCUAACAGCUAGUGAUGCUGAGCAACUUUUCAUGUUAUUGACCACUGUAUAUAUUUGGAGAAAUGUCUUUCAGAACAAUUAAGAUGAUGAAGUUUUGAAAGAGGGAAGAUGGAAUAGCACAGCCAAAGGACUCUCAUAAUAUAUGGUGGAGCCGUUAUCUACAAAAUUCAACCCAAAGAUUUAAAGAUGGAAAUACAUAUUCUCAAUUUUAUGUAUAACGAAUGUAAUUUCUAUUGCUUUGGUAGAUUUAACGUCUUGAAGGAGGAAAAAACAACAACCCUAGCUUCAUAAAUGAUCUAAUCUAGGAUAGAUGAGACUGGGAACGAAGAAAACCAAAGAGGAAAUCUAAGGAAAACCCAUUAUUUAUUUAUUUUUUGCUCAUUUGGGGAGAGAUUGAAUAUGUCUUAAUUUAGGAUUACAUAAAUAAGUAUUUUAAAUCACAUGGUCACCCAUCACAUGACAAACAUGCCUGACUUCAGUAUUUCACUAAAGACUGAGUAGGAAGAGAUAGUGGCAAUCAUUUUACCAAUUUAUAGGAAAGGCAUAAAUAAAAAUUUAAAUAGCACUUAGAGGCUGAGUAAUUCAUUACUGUCUUUUAGUUUCCUAUUUCAGUUUAGAAAUGAAGCUAUCAUCUCCCUGUCCUCGACAAGGAGUUACAAAUUUAAAAGGAAAACAAUGUUACAAGAAUGGACUAAAGUAUCAAAGGAAUGUAUCAAAGAUACAAAUUCCAGCUCUGCCACUUAUUAACUAUGUGACCUUGCACAGGUCAUGAAGUUUUCUCACCUCUACAAUGACAAUAAAAAUACUCACCUUAUUUAUCUUACAGGGUUGUUGUAAAAAUAAAAACAAUAUGAAAAGUAAUUUGGGUAUUUACAAAGUGGCAUACAAACAGAUAAGAAAAUAUAGGUACAAACUGACUUGGAACCUUUGUAAAUGUAGGUUAUCUUAUAGUUUCUUACUAUGCUGUAGUCCACCCAGCUCAACAAUAACAAGAAACAAUAGGUUCUGUUGAGGUUCAAUUUGUGAGACAUUUUACAAGCGUUUUCAGGAACACCAGUUCUAUGAGAUGCUCAAGGCAAAUAAAAGAGGUUAAGAAUGUUAUUUAAGAAUGUCACAUGUUACUCUGGUAGACUGAAUGUCUUUGUAUUUGAAGGAGGAAAAUAAAAAAGGGCUGAGAACCACUCCUGAGCUAUACUUCCCCUGAAGAUUCACAACACAUCCUAGCACACAAAAAUCCUACAGUGAAGAAAUCUGUUUUAACUCUGCUAAUAUUCAGAAAUGCAAAAUAAAACAUACAUGCAGCUUAUUAAAAAUCAACCUAAGAGAAGAAUAAAUUAUUAUUAAAGAAAAAAGGAACAACUGCCUCCAUAUUUCUGAAAUUUAGCAGAAAAUCUACAGGAAUGUUUAGUGAUGCCUGUGGUACUCCCAGGGCACUCAUAUCCCGUGACACUUCAUCAUAUUUCACCUUUUAUACUUAUUAAUGGUCUGACUAAAUUGUAAUCUAUAAGGGCAAGAACCAUGUCGUUGUACUUUGCCUUCUAAAAUGCCCACUAUGGAGCACUGUUCAAUAAAUAUUUCUUAAAUUAAAACCAUCUGCUACUAACUGCCCAAAACCCAUGCCAAUUUAUACAGUAUACCUUUCAAAACUAAUGAUAGAUGGGGAAGGCAGUAUAGCACAAAGAAGACAAGUAGUGACUCUAUAGCAUCUUACUACCCUAAUGGACAAUGACUAUAAUGGGGUAUGUGGUGGGGACUUGAUAAUGGAGGGGAUCUAGUAAUCACAAUGUUGCUCAUGUGAUUGUAUAUGAUAUAAAAAACAAAAAACCAA